Molecule: long non-coding RNA, 4036 nt
Organism: Solanum pennellii
Lineage: Eukaryota; Viridiplantae; Streptophyta; Magnoliopsida; Solanales; Solanaceae
Exons: 4
Source: RefSeq, a predicted model, not a curated record
UGACUUUCAUCUAGCGUGUAAUGAUGUUAAUGGAGGAGAACUCCUAUCAAUUUACAACCCCCGCGGUUUUCUCUUCCAGCUUCGGGAGAGGUAACAAAUGUAUUUAACCUCUCAUGGGUUUUAGGACUAUGCUACAGUUGUAGAAAUUGGGAAUCUUGUAUACUUCUUCAGUGUUUCUCUAGCUAUUAUUUUUUUUUCCUUCUAUUUUGGUUUCAAUUUGUAUCUUUUGAGGAAGCUUGCUGUUCCCUCAUGUGGGUUCAUACCACUGAAAUGCUUUAAGAUUUAUUUUGUGUGAUUUUCAAGAUGAACAUUCAAUAGACAUUAGACUGAAAGAAAAGUAGGAUUACUCUUAAAAUUAAUUUUGCUGGGACUGCUACAGUUAUUGGGUAUCAAAUUUUUCCAUACAUGGGAGACGAUCUGAUGCAGCAGUCUGUCUCACUUCUACAAGUCAAAGAUCCCUUAUUUAAGAGAAUGGGUGUGUCCAGAUUAGCUUAUUUUGCUAUAGAUGCCAAGAAAAGGAUGAAAAUAGUUGAGAUUGGUGGAGCUCAACAGCUUUUGAACAUGUUAAGAGUCUACCAGAAAUGAUCGCACGAGGAAGGAAUCCUUGAAGGCUCUUUUUGCUAUAUCAAAAUCAGAUUAGGUAAAGAUUUUAUCUGGACUUGAGAAGAAUCAUUUUUUUUUUCUUUGGUAUACGGAAGACGGACAAAAGGUAGAGAAUUUUACCCAAAAAUAUGAUACCCUACAAAAGCAUGAAAUAAUCUAUGUUAUCUGAACUUUGUAUGUGCUCCAAAAAUUAAAUAAGAACAAUAUGCUUGCUCUCAUCUAUAAGAAGUGCUCCGCAUACCUGAAAAAGCUCUCCUAUUUGUCUCCCUUCAAAUGAACCACAUUGGCGCUAAAGGAGCUAUACCUCAUGCUCUAGUUCUUCUUUUAUAAAUCUAGCUAUUCAACAUGUACUUCACUGUGGCUGGCAUCACCCACUCUAUGCUAAAUACAUCAAGCACCUUCGACCAUACUUGACUUACAAUUUAACAAUUUCACAGUAUGUGGUCUACAUUCUGUCCCAAUCUAUUGCACAUGAAGCACCAGUUGAUAUAAGUUAUCUCCUUCCUCAAAUUGUUUGAUGAGAAUUACCUCUCGCUACCAGCCAAAUAGAGAAGGAUAUUUCUAUGGUGCUAUAGAGACCCAAUUGAUAAGCAUGAAAAAUCAUUUUCUCUCUGUAAAACAAGCUCCUUUCCUCCUUUAGGGCCAGAACCAAAACUUCCUAUUCCGCUACAAUGUUUUUGUAUAGUAGGGUCGUCAAAAUAUGGAACUAGCUCAUCUUCUGUCUAGUAUAUUUCUCCUGAACUUAAAUUCAAUAUCACUACCACCUUUUAGUCGUAAAGUUAUGCUACUUAUUCCAUUUGUGAGCAGGAGAUCUGAAUAUGGUGGAAAGCAUACUCCUCAGGUUCUCAUCCCCCCACCUCUGUGCUCUAAAAAAACUUUAAAACUUAUUCUUCCCUCUUAACUCACUUUGAAUCCACUUUGUCUUCUGUUCCUAUACCUAAAGACUGUUAGCGAAGAGUUCAUCCCGGGUGGAUAGAUGCCAUGAUAGAAGAAAUGAAUGCUAUGGAGGCUAAUAACACUUGUGCACUGGUUUAGUUACAUGAGGGUAAAUCCAUGGUUGGAUGUCGUUGGGUCUGUACAGUCAAGUAGGUCUUCAUGUUAAGAUUGACUGAAGGCUCAGCUUGUUGCCAGAAGAUAUACACAGAUUCAUGACCUCGAUUAUGGUGAAACAUCCUCUCCGGUUACCAAAAUUGCUCCUUAGCAGCAAUACAUCGUUGGACACUUCAUCAAUUGGAUAUCAGGAAUUCCUUUUUGCAUGGAGAGCUAUUCGAGGAGGUAUAUAUGGAGGAACCAUCAGAAUCUGUUAAUCAGGAGGAGUCAUACAUGGUAUGUGGUCCGAAGCAAUCACUUAACACAAUCUUCAAGAGCAUGGUUUGGUAGAUUCAGUUUGGUGAUUUUACGAUUUGGGACGACUCAUAGUACCGCAGAUCAUUCUGUUUUUUUAUCGUCAUGAUUUUAUAGAUAAAUGUAUGAUAUUCUAGUAGUUUAUGUUGAUGACAUCGUCAUAGCAUGUAAUGAUCAGGACUGAAUUCAGAACUAAAGCAACAUAUGUCCGACGACUGACAUUUUUCAGACGAAGGAUUUGGGAAACUUAAAAAUACUUCUUGGGGAUUAAAUUUGCACAAUCCACCACCAGCAUCGCAAUUGUUCCAAGAAAGUAUGAUCUGGAUACAUUAGAGAAGACGGUCAUGACAAGUUGUAAACUUGUUGAUGAUAUGGAUCAAAAUGUCAAACUUGUUCCUGGUCAGGGGGAGCUGUUGAAGAUUGUAGCCGAUAUCAAAGAUUGGGUGGCAAGUUGAACUAUGUCAUAAUCGUACGGCAGAUAUUUCAUUUGCAGUAACCAUCGUCAAUCAGUUUCCAAACUCUGUGAAAAAGCAUUCGGACAGAUACAUGAAAGGAGCUCCAGGACAAGUUUGUUAUAUGAAGGUAAGGGUCACUUUGACAUUGUUGGGUAUUCUGAUGCAGACUAGCCAAGUUCUCCAUCAUAUAGACAUUCUACUUUUACAUAUUGUCUGAUGAUUGGAGGGAACUUGCUCUCUUGGAAAAGUAAGAAGCAAGAUGUUGUUGCCAGAUCUAGUGCUGAAGUAGAAUAUUGAGCUAUGACUCUUGCUACUUGGGAGCUUAUCUGGUUGAAACAACUUCAAGAUAUUUUUAUAGAAGGGAAAAUGGGGAAGGGCACUUCAAAUUAAGGUGUUUAGAUGUCAAACGAAUGAAACUAAUAUGUAACGAUCAAGCUACUCUUCACAUUUCUUACAAAUGUUAUUUUUCAUGAGGGACAUAGCAUAUAGAGGUGACAUGCCAUUCCAUUAGAUGAUUAGACGAAAUAUCGAGUUGGGAUGCUUGGCCACCAUCUUUGAUAACUUGAAUGAUCAACUAGAAGUGUUUUCACUACCCUCAGAGGACCUCAGGUUGAAUACAUUUGUAACAAGCUUGGAGCUUAAAUAUGUACACUCCAGCUUGAGGAGUGUUGAGAUAUCAUAUGAUUUUCAGUAAUUAGGAUUUAUUUGAUUAGGAUUCUUUACAUACUAAAAUUACUGUAAACCCCAACCAAGCUUGAGGGGAAUAAUCAAGCUUCUGUUUUCUUCUAUUAUCCGUUCUCUUUCUCCUAGAAUACCAAAAGGUGUUCAAGGUCUUCUUGGUAUACUACACUCCAGCUGGCAGCAACAUCUGGAAAUGGUCUGACUUUUAAAAAAAAAUUAAAAUGACCCAGUGUAGCUCGGUUGUGUUGUAUUUAUGAGAUAACAAAAAAGGAGGGGUGCUAAAGCUUUACCUCCAUUACAACACCAUGGUGCGCUAGUCACCUCAAGAGCCAGAAGGUCAUAAUCUCACAUAGGAGGAUAAUGGAUAUAAAUCUUCUGGCAGAUUCAUAUACAUACGAAUCAACUUAUCGAAUUCUAUUCUAAUACAAGGCAUUUGACACUUAUCCAAAAAGUAUGCACCUUUAGCCAUUUUGGAAAGUUGCCUAAAAGAUGUUAGAAUCAUCGUUUGGUUAAGCCUAGCAGCCCUUUCACUAAAAAGUCCUCAACUUGAUUGCUUUCUCUAAAACAGUGAGUCAUUUGGGCAUUCGAUUGAUCCACUAUCUCAAUGAUAUGAUGAUUUGCUAAGUUUGAAGUUGUUGCUGCUCUUGUUGUUCAUCAUAUUUACAAUGAUCAUGGAGUCUAGCUCAAGAGUGAAAUUAGUUAAGUCUUGUUGACUACAUCAUUUCCCACCAAACUCAGCUGCCAAUGCUUCUGCCAUGUUGUUGCUGGUACAUGCUACAUCAGUGUUGUGAAAAGCGCGCUUCAAAACGAGGCGACAACAGCACACUUCUUUUUCCUGAGGCGAUGCGAUAUGAAAAAAGGCGCUCACUUCAGAUAAAGAAGCGAGAAGCGACACUAAGGCAAAAGCGCAAUAAAGCGCGCUUUUUAUAAAAAAGCGACAAUUAGGGUUUUUU